CCUAUGAUUAUUUUGGUCAAGGGGAUGAAUUAUAUGAAAACUAUAUCCGCAUGGGUUCUAAGGAUGUUGUUCUACACAUUCGACCUAUCCAGUCGUCGGGUACCAUUGCUAGAUGGUCACUUCGAUUGGUACAGAAAUUUAUUUCCAUGCUACCAGCUUAGGUUCAGACCUAUGAGGUCACACACAUUAGAGUUCAUGAUCCGAUCAGAUGGUUGAUCAACGAUUAAGAAUCAUUCUAGGGUUAAAUGAUCAAUACGAUUGACAUUUAACCCAGUGCAAGUGUUGCAGGAGGAUCGAUUAGCAAUUUGAUUGCUAAUUGACUUAAUUUGAUUAAGUCAAUGGGCUGAGAUUAAGUAUAAUUAAAUAUAAUUUAAUUAGAUUUAGUUUGGGCUUGAUUGGAUCAAGUCCAAUUGGUUUAUUGGAUAAGCCAA
Molecule: long non-coding RNA, 431 nt
Filed under: Elaeis guineensis (African oil palm)
Lineage: Eukaryota; Viridiplantae; Streptophyta; Magnoliopsida; Arecales; Arecaceae
Description: long non-coding RNA (EGUI_LNC061032)
Source: RNAcentral